UCCUACGGGACGCAGCAGUGAGGAAUAUUGGUCAAUGGUCGGGAGACUGAACCAGCCAAGCCGCGUGAGGGGUUAAGGCCCUAUGGGUCGUAAACCUCUUUUGUCAGGGAGCAAGGUCGUCCACGUGUGGGCGUAUGGAGAGUACCUGAAGAAAAAGCAUCGGCUAACUCCGUGCCAGCAGCCGCGGUAAUACGGAGGAUGCGAGCGUUAUCCGGAUUUAUUGGGUUUAAAGGGUGCGUAGGCGGACUGGAAAGUCAGCGGUAAAAUCGAGAGGCUCAACCUCUUUCCGCCGUUGAAACUGUCGG
RNAcentral lists this ribosomal RNA (305 nucleotides) under uncultured bacterium. RNAcentral's name for it is "bacterial SSU rRNA". It matches the Rfam family "Bacterial small subunit ribosomal RNA", at positions 337 to 639 of the family's 1533-position model. The record is from RNAcentral.